GGGGCCGUAGCUCAAUUGGGAGAGCACCGGCUUUGCAAGCCGGGGGUUAGGGGUUCGAGCCCCCUCGGCUCCA
RNAcentral lists this transfer RNA (73 nucleotides) under Planctomycetaceae bacterium. RNAcentral's name for it is "tRNA-Ala". It matches the Rfam family "tRNA". Rfam says of the family: Transfer RNA (tRNA) molecules are approximately 80 nucleotides in length. Their secondary structure includes four short double-helical elements and three loops (D, anti-codon, and T loops). Further hydrogen bonds mediate the characteristic L-shaped molecular structure. tRNAs have two regions of fundamental functional importance: the anti-codon, which is responsible for specific mRNA codon recognition, and the 3' end, to which the tRNAs corresponding amino acid is attached (by aminoacyl-tRNA synthetases). tRNAs cope with the degeneracy of the genetic code in two manners: having more than one tRNA (with a specific anti-codon) for a particular amino acid; and 'wobble' base-pairing, i.e. permitting non-standard base-pairing at the 3rd anti-codon position. The record is from RNAcentral. Lineage: Bacteria; Pseudomonadati; Planctomycetota; Planctomycetia; Planctomycetales; Planctomycetaceae. RNAcentral also lists the same sequence under 2 other names.